GGUUGAUCCUGCCAGUAGUCAUAUGCUUGUCUCAAAGAUUUAAGCCAUGCAUGUCUAAGUAUAAACACGUUUAUAUGGUGAAACUGCGUACAGCUCAUUAUAUCAGUUAUGAUUUCUUUGAUGGUCUCUCUACAUGGUAUACCCGUAGUAAUUCUAGAGCUAAUACAUGCGUAAAAUCCCGACUCGCGAGGGAAGGGAUGGAUUUAUUAGAUACAAAACCAACGUUGGCUUGCCAACUUCCACGGUGACUCAUCAUAACUAACCGAAUCGCAUGGCAUCUUGCUGGCGAUAGU
This 293-nucleotide ribosomal RNA is filed under the name uncultured eukaryote. Its description in RNAcentral is "partial 18S ribosomal RNA". It matches the Rfam family "Eukaryotic small subunit ribosomal RNA", at positions 6 to 294 of the family's 1831-position model. The record is from RNAcentral.